GUUAAGCGACUAAGCGUACACGGUGGAUGCCCUGGCAGUCAGAGGCGAUGAAGGACGUGCUAAUCUGCGAUAAGCGUCGGUAAGGUGAUAUGAACCGUUAUAACCGGCGAUUUCCGAAUGGGGAAACCCAGUGUGAUUCGUCACACUAUCAUUAACUGAAUCCAUAGGUUAAUGAGGCGAACCGGGGGAACUGAAACAUCUAAGUACCCCGAGGAAAAGAAAUCAACCGAGAUUCCCCCAGUAGCGGCGAGCGAACGGGGAGGAGCCCAGAGCCUGAAUCAGUGUGUGUGUUAGUGGAAGCGUCUGGAAAGGCGCGCGAUACAGGGUGACAGCCCCGUACACAAAAAUGCACAUGCUGUGAGCUCGAUGAGUAGGGCGGGACACGUGGUAUCCUGUCUGAAUAUGGGGGGACCAUCCUCCAAGGCUAAAUACUCCUGACUGACCGAUAGUGAACCAGUACCGUGAGGGAAAGGCGAAAAGAACCCCGGCGAGGGGAGUGAAAAAGAACCUGAAACCGUGUACGUACAAGCAGUGGGAGCACGCUUAGGCGUGUGACUGCGUACCUUUUGUAUAAUGGGUCAGCGACUUAUAUUCUGUAGCAAGGUUAACCGAAUAGGGGAGCCGAAGGGAAACCGAGUCUUAACUGGGCGUUAAGUUGCAGGGUAUAGACCCGAAACCCGGUGAUCUAGCCAUGGGCAGGUUGAAGGUUGGGUAACACUAACUGGAGGACCGAACCGACUAAUGUUGAAAAAUUAGCGGAUGACUUGUGGCUGGGGGUGAAAGGCCAAUCAAACCGGGAGAUAGCUGGUUCUCCCCGAAAGCUAUUUAGGUAGCGCCUCGUGAAUUCAUCUCCGGGGGUAGAGCACUGUUUCGGCAAGGGGGUCAUCCCGACUUACCAACCCGAUGCAAACUGCGAAUACCGGAGAAUGUUAUCACGGGAGACACACGGCGGGUGCUAACGUCCGUCGUGAAGAGGGAAACAACCCAGACCGCCAGCUAAGGUCCCAAAGUCAUGGUUAAGUGGGAAACGAUGUGGGAAGGCCCAGACAGCCAGGAUGUUGGCUUAGAAGCAGCCAUCAUUUAAAGAAAGCGUAAUAGCUCACUGGUCGAGUCGGCCUGCGCGGAAGAUGUAACGGGGCUAAACCAUGCACCGAAGCUGCGGCAGCGACACUGUGUGUUGUUGGGUAGGGGAGCGUUCUGUAAGCCUGCGAAGGUGUGCUGUGAGGCAUGCUGGAGGUAUCAGAAGUGCGAAUGCUGACAUAAGUAACGAUAAAGCGGGUGAAAAGCCCGCUCGCCGGAAGACCAAGGGUUCCUGUCCAACGUUAAUCGGGGCAGGGUGAGUCGACCCCUAAGGCGAGGCCGAAAGGCGUAGUCGAUGGGAAACAGGUUAAUAUUCCUGUACUUGGUGUUACUGCGAAGGGGGGACGGAGAAGGCUAUGUUGGCCGGGCGACGGUUGUCCCGGUUUAAGCGUGUAGGCUGGUUUUCCAGGCAAAUCCGGAAAAUCAAGGCUGAGGCGUGAUGACGAGGCACUACGGUGCUGAAGCAACAAAUGCCCUGCUUCCAGGAAAAGCCUCUAAGCAUCAGGUAACAUCAAAUCGUACCCCAAACCGACACAGGUGGUCAGGUAGAGAAUACCAAGGCGCUUGAGAGAACUCGGGUGAAGGAACUAGGCAAAAUGGUGCCGUAACUUCGGGAGAAGGCACGCUGAUACGUAGGUGAAGUCCCUCGCGGAUGGAGCUGAAAUCAGUCGAAGAUACCAGCUGGCUGCAACUGUUUAUUAAAAACACAGCACUGUGCAAACACGAAAGUGGACGUAUACGGUGUGACGCCUGCCCGGUGCCGGAAGGUUAAUUGAUGGGGUCAGCGCAAGCGAAGCUCUUGAUCGAAGCCCCGGUAAACGGCGGCCGUAACUAUAACGGUCCUAAGGUAGCGAAAUUCCUUGUCGGGUAAGUUCCGACCUGCACGAAUGGCGUAAUGAUGGCCAGGCUGUCUCCACCCGAGACUCAGUGAAAUUGAACUCGCUGUGAAGAUGCAGUGUACCCGCGGCAAGACGGAAAGACCCCGUGAACCUUUACUAUAGCUUGACACUGAACAUUGAGCCUUGAUGUGUAGGAUAGGUGGGAGGCUUUGAAGUGUGGACGCCAGUCUGCAUGGAGCCGACCUUGAAAUACCACCCUUUAAUGUUUGAUGUUCUAACGUUGACCCGUAAUCCGGGUUGCGGACAGUGUCUGGUGGGUAGUUUGACUGGGGCGGUCUCCUCCUAAAGAGUAACGGAGGAGCACGAAGGUUGGCUAAUCCUGGUCGGACAUCAGGAGGUUAGUGCAAUGGCAUAAGCCAGCUUGACUGCGAGC
RNAcentral lists this ribosomal RNA (2352 nucleotides) under Escherichia coli. RNAcentral describes it as "partial 23S ribosomal RNA". It matches the Rfam family "Bacterial large subunit ribosomal RNA", at positions 1 to 2380 of the family's 2925-position model. Lineage: Bacteria; Pseudomonadati; Pseudomonadota; Gammaproteobacteria; Enterobacterales; Enterobacteriaceae. The record is from RNAcentral.